ACCUAGCUAAGCACAAAAUUGAGAAGACAACAGAUGGUGAUUUGGGAAGAGCAGGCAGAUGGUCUGUGGUGAAAUCAUGGAACCCAUGUCCGAUUGGUAUGUUGCCUCGUGAUCUUGGGUCUUCUGGCUGUCUUCCUGUCCUUGACCAUAAUGAUGUCAGUAAGAAGUCUGUGGAUUCAUCAGAAAGGACACAGAUCUCGGUAGCGAAACAUGGUGGUGCAGAAGAACCUAGUUCUAGUAUUCAAUGUGAUAACCCAAGUGCUGAGAGAAGGAGCAAGAGGGAAGCUAGUUAUGAUAUUUGUUUAUUAGAUAGGUCAAGUUUUAAGAAGAUGAGAGAGACUGUAUAUACUUGUGAUUCAGAUGAAGAUACUUUAUUACCAGAUGAUAUCACAAGCUGUCUGGUGAUAAAUGGGGUCUGGAAGAAAGUCGGGGAGGAGCUUCGUGCUAUAAUGUCUGGUGUAGGGACUUUGGUUUAGUCACUGCUUUAUUUAUCAUUUAAUUAUGCAAUUUAUUUAUGAAGAUCAACCUGGAAUCAUGAAAACAUUUGCACAAUUUAGGUAUUGAAGCAGGA
Molecule: unclassified non-coding RNA, 571 nt
Filed under: Hevea brasiliensis (rubber tree)
Lineage: Eukaryota; Viridiplantae; Streptophyta; Magnoliopsida; Malpighiales; Euphorbiaceae
Source: RNAcentral